This 236-nucleotide ribosomal RNA is filed under the name uncultured bacterium. RNAcentral's name for it is "partial 16S ribosomal RNA". It matches the Rfam family "Bacterial small subunit ribosomal RNA", at positions 100 to 334 of the family's 1533-position model. The record is from RNAcentral.
CGGGACGGGUGAGUAACGCGUGGGUAACCUGCCUCAUACAGGGGGAUAACAGUUAGAAAUGGCUGCUAAUACCGCAUAAGACCACAGUACUGCAUGGUACAGUGGUAAAAACUCCGGUGGUAUGAGAUGGACCCGCGUCUGAUUAGGUAGUUGGUGAGGUAACGGCCCACCAAGCCGACGAUCAGUAGCCGACCUGAGAGGGUGAUCGGCCACAUUGGGACUGAGACACGGCCCAG